AAUCUUGGGGCUCAUCUGACGCAGGCAUCUGGAAAUGCAGAGAACACCGAGCUGAUGGGAGAGGCGGGCUUGCAAUCACUGAUGAGAUCUCCUCCCAGAGGUUAUCUCAAGGCUUGAAGAGCAGCAAUACAGGGAAAGCAUACAAGAAACUUGCUGUUGAACAAAUUCAACUUUCUUGGAGCUGAAAGAGUCAUAUUUGUUCCAGUGAGCAGUCACCCAGGCUGCAGAUGCUGAAGAGCACAACCUCUCCCCAGCAUCAAGAAUCUCAUUUGUGAAGAUGGAGCAAAAGAAAGAAUAGGAGAAAUUGAAGGAGGCCAUUAAGUGCUUUGGUUUUUAACUCAAAAGGCUCUGGACUACUGUUUUGCCUAAGAUGUAGUGAAAAAGAGAAAAACACCCCCCAAACUCCAACUCUUCCAUUUCUCAUGAAGUCUGCAAGUGAGACCAGCAAUAACUUCAGGCCUUGUCUUAUCUUGUUCUGGCAAUUCCGCAUCCUGCGCUGAGCUUCACGCAGCCUCUUACACGUGGCCCGAGCCCGCUGACGUCUGGCUUACAGAGCAUCUAGGUGAGCGGAGACCUGCGUGGGAAAGUCUCGGACUCUGAGGGGAAAGAGAGGGUAGUUCAGCAUCCAGGACUGUGGAAUGGAAAAUGUACAACUCGGGGAACUGUGGAGAUAAGCUGCUACAAGUAAAUAGAGAACAGCACCGGCUAAAUGCCCAGGGAGCAGUGAUCAGCAGAUUCGGGAGAGAGCGCGAUGUUGAUAAAUGUUUUGAGCAGAGGGCGGCCUUGGAGAUAACUCUGAACUUGAUCUGGUCCUGAGAGGAAGCAGCAAGACCAGAUCUUGCAGCGCUUCAAUACCCCACAGCGUGAUACCCUCAAUGGUGGAAGAGGCAGGGGCCAAUUCCUCUUAAGAGUGGAUGGAGGAGGGCUCAGCAGGGGGCAAGAGGAGUGAAGCACAAGCGUCAGAGGCUCGUGGACCCAGGCUUGUACCUCAAGGACAUAAGAGGACCAGAGCAGAAGACAAAGUGGAGAAGACAGACUUGAGAAAGAAUGGCCAGUCACGUGGACCAGGACCACAGCCAGUGUGGGGGAGCGGGCAGUCUCCCGUACUGGCUGUGGGGGGUGCGGUGAGCAGUGGCUGGUGGAGACGGAGCCCUGUCACUAAAGCCAGACCCUUCUGAGAUGGAUGACAAUUAUGCAAAUGACCAUGGAAUUUCACUGUCCUGCUCCCACUCCCUUUUUCCUGCCUGCACUACUCAAAUUUGAUGUUCACCAUAUGGUUUUAUUCCAAGCACGGCUGGACCUUUCUGAAAGGAAAAUCUCCUUGCUGUCUAUUGCAGCCAUGAAAAAUAAAUCCUAAGGAUGCUCAUCACA
This is a long non-coding RNA of Mirounga angustirostris (Northern elephant seal), 1371 nucleotides long. RefSeq lists it as uncharacterized. The transcript is spliced from 7 exons. Lineage: Eukaryota; Metazoa; Chordata; Mammalia; Carnivora; Phocidae. The record is from RefSeq and is a predicted model, not a curated record.